GGCGCUAGGGGCAGUCGGUUAAGCCACCAGGUUUUCAUCCUGGGGUGCUCAGUUCAAUUCUGGGUAGCGCUACCA
This 75-nucleotide transfer RNA is filed under the name Anaeroplasmataceae bacterium. RNAcentral describes it as "tRNA-Glu". It matches the Rfam family "tRNA". From Rfam's summary of the family: Transfer RNA (tRNA) molecules are approximately 80 nucleotides in length. Their secondary structure includes four short double-helical elements and three loops (D, anti-codon, and T loops). Lineage: Bacteria; Bacillati; Mycoplasmatota; Mollicutes; Anaeroplasmatales; Anaeroplasmataceae. The record is from RNAcentral.